RNA transcript from Xenopus laevis (African clawed frog), 5814 nucleotides. RefSeq lists it as uncharacterized. NCBI's taxonomy places the organism in Eukaryota, Metazoa, Chordata, Amphibia, Anura, Pipidae. The record is from RefSeq and is a predicted model, not a curated record. The transcript has 2 exons.
UGCCCCACAUCAAGGGUUGAAGAAUCAUUACUACUUCAACAAGCUAGAAUCUGUAUAGCUAGUUACGUAACAGCGCCAUCUAGCAGCAGUAGAAAUCCACUGCAACCUAUGUUUCUUACAUUUGUAUAAAUAAAGUUCUUAAUUAUGCAACUACAGUGCAUUGUGGGUGGCUAGUGCAUUCUGGGAAGGAGAAGGGAGACACCAUACUGUUUACAGCACAUUUGCAUAGCUCUCCUAGCAUUCCUGCUUCUUAAAUCUCCACUACCCCACAGCCAGCAUAUCUGGUAAGAAUUAUACAAGUCUCAGGAUAGUCUGUUCUUUAGUGAUGUUUUAGAUAGUUCUAAUCUGCACUUAGUAGUUGUUACGCUAGUAGAUAGCCAGUCAUGCGGCCUUAUAGGUCGUCAGCCAUCUUCAACAUGUGCUUAGUGCUAUGUAAUAUGUUCAGACAUGCCGAUUUAGAAUGAAUGCUGCUGUAUAUGUUAUUCAUAUGUUUUUGCUAUAUACUUAUACAAACCAUUUGUAUCUUUAUAGUUUUACCACAUGAACAUACAUCGGCACACCUACGUCGAUGCUCCUGUUUACUAAUUGCAACUGACCACUUACAGUCAAACAACCUGUUAUCAAUAAACAAGUUAGAUUACAAGACAGUCUGCUUAUUUGGAAGACAGUGAUGGUUAAGCUGAAUGUUGGAUUGCACACUGUGAGAACGUGUAUGAAGGCAGAACAGUAAAACAGAUGCUGGUCAGCAACGAUAGUGGAUGUGAUCAAACGGAGCUGCCAUCACACACGCGGUUCUGCGUAUACGAUUGCAGCGUCUGCCACACGGUCAGUGACAAGAAGUGAGAGUGCAGCUCAACACGAUCCAGACCACGCUGAAGCCCGGUCCUAUAUAGACUGAGUCCACAAAGAGACAUUAAGCGGCCGGCAGAACGGGCACAAUGUCUGUUAGCCGAGCAUCAUCAUACAAAACCAGAUCACGAGCAAGCUGCUCUAGCAAAUCCUCCAUAAAAGAAAUGGCUGCUCUCGCACGUGCAGAAGCUGAAGCUGCAAAAGUAAAGUCUUCCUUCGCUGCACAAGAGAUGCAACUAAAGAAAGAGAGGGCAUCAUUAGAAAAGGAACGAGUAGAUCUGCAAGCGUCGCUAGAAAGACUAGCCGCAGAGAAGGAAGCGGCAGCCGCAAUAGCCAAAGCAGAAUACCUGGAAGCCCUGGAGUUUUCCGGAUCUGAGAAACACCCCAAGACAGAGGGCAACUAUGAGCCAGGACAUCAGCCAGCUUAUAAAGAGUGCCAAAGAUCUUACCUUGAACCACAGUACCUUAGGCAGGACGAUAUGCGACCAAACGAUGCUGACAACUACCGCCCUAUGGAGCAGAGACUACAACCUUUGCCCAAAAUUAAAGGGACACCUUUUGCAUCAGAACGGCAUUAUACUGACUGCUCUAAGCCAGAAGCUCUUAAAAGGCAUGGUAAUACACCACACGUGCAGCAUAACAGCACACCGGAUUUUACUAAUGCUAACUGGGCCAUCAUGGACUUUGCUAAGUUCUUUGCUAAACGGGAGCUGGUUACCAAGGGACUUGCAAAGUUCACCGAUCAGGCCGAGAACUACAGGUCAUGGCGAGCCUCCUUCCAAAAUGCCAUAAGAGACUUAGACCUUUCCCAUCAGGAAGAGUUAGACCUCCUGGUAAAGUGGCUUGGAAGCGAGUCCGUUGAACACGCCAAAAGAAUCAGAGACAUUAACAUAAACUAUCCUGACAGAGGCCUAAAGAUGGUGUGGGAAAGACUUGAUGAGUGUUACGGGUCCAUAGAAGCCAUUGAAAAUGCUUUGUUCAAAAGGAUUGAUAACUUUCCCAGAAUAGUGGGUAGGGGUUACCAGAAGCUCAGAGAGCUCAGUGACUUGUUAAGAGAGGUACAGGUUGCUCAAGAAGAAGGAGAUCUACCAGGGCUAGCUUUCCUAGACACUGCCAGAGGGGUCAAUCCUAUUGUUCAAAAACUCCCUUAUAACCUACAAGAGAAGUGGGUCACACAUGGUUCUACUUAUAAACGGGUUCAUAAUGUACCAUUUCCCCCCUUCGAGGUGUUUGUAAACUUUGUCAGUGAACAGGCAAGAAUCAGAAAUGAUCCCAGUUUUGAUCUCACAAUGUCAUGCCCCACUACCCCUGAUGUCAGACCUCAUAAAACACCAGUGGCAGUCCAUAAAACUAACAUUGCCUCCACAGGUUCUCCAUACAAGCCGUCUAAGUCUUCUCAAGAAGGGAACGGACACAGAGAUCUUAACAAAGAAUGCCCCCUGCACAAGAAACCACAUUCUUUACUAAAAUGCAGAGCCUUCAGAGAAAAGACUUUAGAAGACCGGAAAGAGUUCCUCAAAGACAACAACAUCUGCUUCAGGUGCUGCACUACAACAUCGCACUUUGCCAGGAACUGUGAGGUCAGUGUGUCAUGCUCAGAAUGUGGUAGCACAGAACACAAUACGGCUUUACACCCUGGACCACCCUCUCAGGCAGUGCACCAAACAGAGGAUCAUGAAAAGAAGCAGAUAGACACUAACAAAACCAAUACAGUAGUCACUUCUCAGUGUACCGAAAUCUGUAAAGGAGUGGUAGGAGGAAAGUCCUGCUCGAAAAUCUGCCUUGUCAGAGUUUACCCGGCCAGUCACAGAGAUAAGGCGAUCAAGGCAUACGCAAUCUUAGACGAUCAAAGCAACCGGUCUUUAGCAAAAUCCACCUUUUUUGACACCUUCAACAUCAUAGGACCUGGUUCUCCCUACUCCUUAAGGACAUGUGCAGGUACAGUGGAGACGGCGGGGAGGAAGGCAACGGGAUACAAGGUAGAGUCCAUAGACGGGCAGACCUGCUUGUCACUGCCAACCAUACUGGAGUGCAACCAAAUUCCUGACAACCGUUCUGAGAUACCUACACCAGAAGUAGCAGCAUACCACCCCCACCUGAAGCGUAUAGCUCACCAGAUACCAGAACUGGAUCCAGAAGCACCAAUAGCCUUACUCCUAGGAAGAGACAUACUACGUGUUCACAAGGCUAGAGGACAGAUUAACGGUUCCCAAAACGCUCCAUACGCCCAGAGACUUGACCUAGGGUGGGUCAUCAUAGGAGACGUCUGUCUAGGAGGAGCACACAAGCCGAUCUCUGUCAACAGCAUGCUCACCAACACACUUGAAAGUAGACGUCCUUCCUUAUUCCAACCAUGUCAGAACAGUUUCCUGAUAAAAGAAUUGCCUCAUAGAGAUCCUGUCCCUUGUCCCUUCAUGGAUCCUUCCAGCGAAGACCACGCCUGUGAUGGUGAACGAGAUCACUUAGGGUGUACAGUUUUCCAUAGGUCAAGAGAAGACAACAAGGUCGCAAUCUCCAUAGAAGACAGACUGUUCUUGGAGAUCAUGGAUCAAGGAAUGACAAAGGACAAUUCAAAAAGCUGGGUCGCGCCUUUACCAUUUAGACCCCAGAGACAACGCUUACCUGACAACAAAGAACUUGUCUAUAACAGAUUUAUCUCCCUCAAGCACAAACUUCAGAAGACACCAGAGAUGAAAGAAAAUUUCAGAACAUUUUAUGUCUACGUCUCCAAUCGAGUGCUGAGGAUCAGGAGAUCCACUAGUCCUCAACAGUGGCACUACGUGCCUACACAACAUAAUCCCACAGACUACGCAACCAGAUCCGUCGCAGCCUGCCACCUGAAAGCCACAACAUGGUUCACAGGUCCUGCGUUCCUGUACCGUUCAACGGCUUGCAACAUCGGAUGUGACACAUUUGAAUUGAUAGACCCAGACGCAGAUGAGGAGAUCCGACCCGAAGUGUCUGUUCUUAACACAGUGACUUCAGAUCGUCAACUCGAAUCCCAUCGUUUCAGCAGGUUCUCCACCUGGAUGUCUCUGGUCCGUGCGAUAGCCAUCUUGAUUCAUAUAGCUAAGUCCUACACAUCUACAUUACCUGUGAGUCAGAAACCUUGUAAAGGUUGGCAUCACUGCAAGAGCGCCUUUACAGCUUCCAAUCUGGAGAGGUCCAAGGACAUAAUAAUCCACACAAUUCAACAUGAAUGUUACACUAAGGAGAUAGAAUACCUCAGGAAAGGCCAAACAGUCUCUAAAGACAGCGCUUUGAGAAGACUUGAUCCCGUCAUUGACCAAGGUGGGUUGAUGAGAAUAGGAGGCCGCCUUCAGGAAGCCAAAGUAGACUUCAGAGAAAAACACCCUAUAGUAAUUCCGGGACAUCACCAUGUCGCGACCCUACUCAUACGACAUCACCAUCUUCAAACAAAACACCAAGGCCGAAUGUUUACCGAAGGGAAUCUACGAGCCACUGGACUAUGGAUUGUUGGAGCGAAGAGACGUGUAAGCCAGGUCAUUUUCAACUGCAUUACCUGUCGCAAACUUCGUGGUGUGUCUCAGAACCCAAAAAUGGCCAGUCUCCCAGCUGAAAGACUCAGCACAGAUCCUCCCUUCACUAACGUUGGCUUGGACGUGUUCGGCCCUUGGUCAGUGGCUACCAGGCACACAAGAGGUGUUCACACCGGUGCAAAGCGUUGGGCAGUCAUGUUUACUUGCAUGUCCAGUAGGGCAGUCCAUAUAGAAGUGAUCGAAUCUAUGGAUGCUUCCAGCUUCAUAAAUGCAUUCCGACGGUUUAUCGCCAUUAGAGGACCUGUGAAAUGUAUUCGUUCAGAUAGAGGCACAAAUUUCGUUGGAGCAGUAAAAGAACUCCAAAUUCCUUCCAAUUUGGAUACGGCCAAGGUGGACAGAUACCUAAAUGAGCAAGGAUGCACAUGGACCUUUAAUCCACCGCAUUCCUCCCACAUGGGCGGCGUCUGGGAAAGGAUGAUAGGGAUAGCAAGGAAAAUCUUGGAUUCCAUCUUCUCGCAGGUAGGGAGUACGAGACUCACACACGAAAGUCUGGUCACAUUCUUGGCAGAAGUCUCAGCCAUCAUGAACGCAAGACCGUUGACUACCCUUUCCAGUGACCCUGAAGAUUUGAUGAUCCUUACCCCUGCCAUGUUACUCACACAGAAGACCAGCACCCUGAGUGCUCCAUCUGGAGAAUUUACUGAAAAAGACCUGUAUAGACGUCAAUGGAGGCAGGUGCAAAGUCUUUCUAAUGUCUUCUGGGACAAAUGGAGAAAAGAGUAUGUCUCUACCUUGCAGUCGAGAAGGAAGUGGCAAACUAACAAGCCGAACAUCAGACCUGGGGAUGUCGUGCUCAUGAAAGACCACCAAUCACAUCGGAAUGAGUGGCCACUGGGCCUCAUCACCAACACUUUUCCAAGCAAGGAUGGGAAUGUACGUAAGGCCGAGGUCAAAAUCUGUAAGCUUGGCGAGUGCAAACUAUUCCUCAGACCAACAACAGAGCUCGUGUUGUUGUUUUCACCUGAGAAGACAAGUAGUGACAUCUGUUGACGCCAGACGGGGAGUGUUCUGCCCCACAUCAAGGGUUGAAGAAUCAUUACUACUUCAACAAGCUAGAAUCUGUAUAGCUAGUUACGUAACAGCGCCAUCUAGCAGCAGUAGAAAUCCACUGCAACCUAUGUUUCUUACAUUUGUAUAAAUAAAGUUCUUAAUUAUGCAACUACAGUGCAUUGUGGGUGGCUAGUGCAUUCUGGGAAGGAGAAGGGAGACACCAUACUGUUUACAGCACAUUUGCAUAGCUCUCCUAGCAUUCCUGCUUCUUAAAUCUCCACUACCCCACAGCCAGCAUAUCUGUUUUACCACAUGAACAUACAUCGGCACACCUACGUCGAUGCUCCUGUUUACUAAUUGCAACUGACCACUUACAGUCAAACAACCUGUUAUCAAUAAACAAGUUAGAUUACAA